This 343-nucleotide ribosomal RNA is filed under the name uncultured bacterium. RNAcentral's name for it is "bacterial SSU rRNA". It matches the Rfam family "Bacterial small subunit ribosomal RNA", at positions 173 to 507 of the family's 1533-position model. The record is from RNAcentral.
AUACGCACUAAGGUGGAAAGUGGGGGAUUCGCAAGAACCUCAUGCUCAUGGAGUGGCCGAUAUCUGAUUAGCUAGUUGGUGAGGUAAAGGCUCACCAAGGCAACGAUCAGUAGGCUGGUUUUGAGAGAACGACCAGCCACACUGGAACUGAGACACGGUCCAGACUCCUACGGGAGGCAGCAGUGGGGAAUUUUGGACAAUGGGGGCAACCCUGAUCCAGCAAUGCCGCGUGAGUGAAGAAGGCCUUCGGGUUGUAAAGCUCUUUUGUCAGGGAAGAAACGGUGAGAGCUAAUAUCUCUUGCUAAUGACGGUACCUGAAGAAUAAGCACCGGCUAACUACGUG